AGCGAACGCUGGCGGCAGGCCUAACACAUGCAAGUCGAACGGAUCCUUCGGGAUUAGUGGCGGACGGGUGAGUAACACGUGGGAACGUGCCCUUUGGUUCGGAACAACUCAGGGAAACUUGAGCUAAUACCGGAUGUGCCCUUCGGGAGAAAGAUUUAUCGCCAUUGGAGCGGCCCGCGUCUGAUUAGCUAGUUGGUGAGGUAAAGGCUCACCAAGGCGACGAUCAGUAGCUGGUCUGAGAGGAUGAUCAGCCACAUUGGGACUGAGACACGGCCCAAACUCCUACGGGAGGCAGCAGUGGGGAAUCUUGCGCAAUGGGCGUAAGCCUGACGCAGCCAUGCCGCGUGAAUGAUGAAGGUCUUAGGAUUGUAAAAUUCUUUCACCGGGGACGAUAAUGACGGUACCCGGAGAAGAAGCCCCGGCUAACUUCGUGCCAGCCGCCGCAGUAA
RNAcentral lists this ribosomal RNA (449 nucleotides) under uncultured bacterium. Its description in RNAcentral is "partial 16S ribosomal RNA". It matches the Rfam family "Bacterial small subunit ribosomal RNA", at positions 29 to 523 of the family's 1533-position model. The record is from RNAcentral.